GAAAACUCAAGCAUAUUUCGUAUAACUCAAUAACAGAGAAUGGACUCGAACAACUCCAAUUCUCAGUUCUUAACUUUCAGCCGACGUUGGCAGUUUGUGACAACAAUUUUCACCGGAAUUGCGAAGGAGGUGGCGAUGCUACUGCUGCGACAUCGACUCGUGGCAGUCCUUGAUGGAAAAUUUGUGGAGAAAAAAGCUGAGAGAUUUCAAAUCUACAGACAUAUGGCGGAUCUGUUACAGCUGGUGACCAUG
This 252-nucleotide long non-coding RNA is filed under the name Salvia miltiorrhiza (redroot sage). Its description in RNAcentral is "long non-coding RNA (SMIL_LNC004448)". The record is from RNAcentral. Lineage: Eukaryota; Viridiplantae; Streptophyta; Magnoliopsida; Lamiales; Lamiaceae.